This 297-nucleotide unclassified non-coding RNA is filed under the name Hevea brasiliensis (rubber tree). Lineage: Eukaryota; Viridiplantae; Streptophyta; Magnoliopsida; Malpighiales; Euphorbiaceae. The record is from RNAcentral.
UACGGGCUAAAAUCUCCACCACCUAAGUUUUGAACACAAGUAAUGCAUCGGUAGAAAUCUAUGGCAUGUCUAUGCUUUCAAUACAAUCAAGCCAUUGUUAUAAAGAUAAAGCAAAUAAACUUCAUCCAGACUUGUCAAAACAUCCGCAUUCCCAUGGAAAUGUAACCUUCCCACUCUUUAGGAUGGGAAUCACAUUCCCAUGCAUAUGGAAAUGAGAUGGUAUAACCCAUACAUUAGAAAUGUAGCUUUCUCAAAAGUGUCACACCAUUGUAAAAAAAUAAAAUGAAAUAAAAUAAA